RNAcentral lists this ribosomal RNA (851 nucleotides) under Neopyrenochaeta annellidica. RNAcentral describes it as "Neopyrenochaeta sp. WJL-2020a partial large subunit ribosomal RNA". Lineage: Eukaryota; Fungi; Ascomycota; Dothideomycetes; Pleosporales; Neopyrenochaetaceae. The record is from RNAcentral.
AGGGUAUUGCCCUAGUAACGGCGAGUGAAGCGGCAUCAGCUCAAAUUUGAAAUCUGGCUCUUUCAGAGUCCGAGUUGUAAUUUGCAGAGGGCGCUUUGGCGUUGGCAGCGGUCCAAGUUCCUUGGAACAGGACGUCACAGAGGGUGAGAAUCCCGUACGUGGUCGCUGGCCUUCACCGUGUAAAGCCCCUUCGACGAGUCGAGUUGUUUGGGAAUGCAGCUCUAAAUGGGAGGUAAAUUUCUUCUAAAGCUAAAUACUGGCCAGAGACCGAUAGCGCACAAGUAGAGUGAUCGAAAGAUGAAAAGCACUUUGGAAAGAGAGUCAAAUAGCACGUGAAAUUGUUGAAAGGGAAGCGCUUGCAGCCAGACUUGCCUGUAGUUGCUCAUCCGGGCUUUUGCCCGGUGCAUUCUUCUGUAGGCAGGCCAGCAUCAGUUUGGGCGGUUGGAUAAAGGCCUCUGUCAUGUACCUCCUUUCGGGGAGGCCUUAUAGGGGAGGCGACAUGCAACCAGCCUGGACUGAGGUCCGCGCAUCUGCUAGGAUGCUGGCGUAAUGGCUGUAAGCGGCCCGUCUUGAAACACGGACCAAGGAGUCUAACAUCUAUGCGAGUGUUUGGGUGUCAAGCCCGAGCGCGCAAUGAAAGUGAACGGAGGUGGGAUCCCUUAAGGGUGCACCAUCGACCGAUCCUGAUGUCUUCGGAUGGAUUUGAGUAAGAGCAUGGCUGUUGGGACCCGAAAGAUGGUGAACUAUGCUUGAAUAGGGUGAAGCCAGAGGMAACUCUGGUGGAGGCUCGCAGCGGUUCUGACGUGCAAAUCGAUCGUCAAAUUUGGGCAUAGGGCGAAAGACUAAUCGAA